GCCAAAUCCAGUUUACCACCUCUCUUUGUAAAUAAAGUUUUAUUGGAACACAGCCAUGCUCAUUUGUCUGGGACUGAUUUUGCUCCACAAUGACAGAGAUAAAGAAAGUGAUUAAGGACACAAUGAAUCUUGGCACAUACGUUACAUGACUGUAGCAGACAUACAUUACAAAGGCUAGCAGACCAUCAACUGGUGUUAGCCCAUCAGUCAUCACCAUUCUCAGCUCAGCCGCCAGGAGAUGAAUGAGUUAGAUUCAACUGUCAUUGAAGCCCUUCGAUAGACAUCACCUCACUCAGAGGUCACAGCAACCCUCUGAUAGACAUCACCUCACCUAGAGGUCACAGCAACCCUCUGAGUGAAUCAUCUUCAUGGAUCAUCUCUGUCUGCUCCCCCUGGAGGGACCACUGAAAUGGAGUCGGGGGACAGGACAGGAGAAGAGCCCAGUGUGACAGGCCAUGGCUAGUUGGAGUACACCACCUGGGGAAUGUCUGGAAACAUUUCAGAUGUGCUGACGCAUCUUGCUGCCACAGAAAAAGAAAUCUGUUUCCACAAAGAGAAGCAAGAGCUGGAGACACUGGAAGUUUAUGGACUGGAGAAGGCGGCUCCGAGAAGAAGAGCAUUCUGGCGCUCAGCGAUGCUCUCCUGAGCCGCCCAGAUGUGGGCCAGAUGCUGCAAAUCUGUAGAGACACGUCGGGCUCAGUGACUUGUGCCAUGACUUUCAUCCACGUGGGCAUGGAGGAUAUUGACUGAUCUCACUCCGAUUAUUAAGAGUGACUUCAGGGCUCUGGAAACAUGGGUGUAGGAGGCUGGGACUUGAGGGGUAGUCUUGACAAUCCUCCCAGUUGAGCAGAAGGGUUUCUGGAGCUGACAGCCCUGCUCUGGGGAUACAUGUCUACUUCACAUGCCUCACCCCACACCACCCAUAGAAGAGGGCUCAGCAGGAAACACUGAGGGUACUUCAAUGGGAAGUGAUUUGCAAUUUCUGCCUUUGCAGAAAUCAUCUCUAGUGACUUUUAUCUGGUGUUAUUAAAGAUGAUUUUGAUGUGAUAUUAACUAUAGUGAUUCUUCCUAUAAUCACUUUCUCUUUAAUCAGCCUGUAUGGCCCCUUUUCUAGCUGGAAUUUCACUACACUGCUCAGCCUUCCAUUCCAUGCUUUUUAAAAAAUA
Molecule: long non-coding RNA, 1166 nt
Organism: Lagenorhynchus albirostris (white-beaked dolphin)
Lineage: Eukaryota; Metazoa; Chordata; Mammalia; Artiodactyla; Delphinidae
Exons: 5
Source: RefSeq, a predicted model, not a curated record